RNAcentral lists this unclassified non-coding RNA (466 nucleotides) under Hevea brasiliensis (rubber tree). The record is from RNAcentral. Lineage: Eukaryota; Viridiplantae; Streptophyta; Magnoliopsida; Malpighiales; Euphorbiaceae.
CCAGCAUUAAACCAUGAGAGUUGGCCAUCCUCACCAUGAUACAUGUCCUCUGAGUAGUAUCUGCUUGUAAUUUUCCCAUCUAACUCACACUCAUCCCCAUCUGAUUCAGCAAUCUGAACUUUACGGAGGCGAACCAACCCAUUGAUGCCUACACCAUUCUGCUCCUUUUCCAUCUCGUCAUCCUCAGGAAUAGCAUCAAGCAUUCCAUGCCUCGAUACUUUCCUUAUCGGACUGACCAAAAUUGUCUUAGUCAAUAUCACCGGCACACCCCCACAGCAACCAGCAAUAUAAACUUCAAUGGCAGGCGCCGAAAAGCCCAUCUUCGGUUGGAAAAACACAGAGUUUCCCUCCCCCACAGAAGUCGCCAUGUAACACUCCAUGCUCCAUCCUGUCUUCGAAUCAUUUUCCAGUCCCACGCUCCCAUUCCCCCAAACGGCUUCUAUUCUCUCCAGGGACCCACAUAAAA